Long non-coding RNA from Patiria miniata (bat star), 390 nucleotides. RefSeq lists it as uncharacterized. The record is from RefSeq and is a predicted model, not a curated record. The transcript has 3 exons. NCBI's taxonomy places the organism in Eukaryota, Metazoa, Echinodermata, Asteroidea, Valvatida, Asterinidae.
UUUAUGUACGUCUGGUCGAUCGGUAAUAUGCAAAUUGUCGUAAUUGUUAUGCGACGCAAUAAAUACGCCAGUCUGUUGCUCGUGUAACCCACAAGUCAUCUUGAUCAGCGCAAGGAACACAUGUGAAAGAGACCAAACUACAGGCGAAAGUGUCGAUAGCUUUAUUUGGACGCUGUAACAGAUCAAAAGGGAGAUUAAUGGAGAAGGUGAUUCGAUUUGUAAAGAGCAGCUAUUUCAGCCUGCCCGGUGUCGCAUGGAUUUUGCUCAUUUCGUUUGCUGUAUACGUGUUGGUGGGUACCGCCUGUUUCCCAAAGUACCUCCUAAUCGAGUAUUUCGGCCCGUUGGGCCACCUCAGUAAGUUUCUUCAGGAGAAAGACCUCAGCACCAGCG